RNAcentral lists this ribosomal RNA (1324 nucleotides) under Hypomyces multiseptatus. RNAcentral describes it as "eukaryotic LSU rRNA". It matches the Rfam family "Eukaryotic large subunit ribosomal RNA", at positions 78 to 1436 of the family's 3401-position model. Lineage: Eukaryota; Fungi; Ascomycota; Sordariomycetes; Hypocreales; Hypocreaceae. The record is from RNAcentral.
CCCCAGUAACGGCGAGUGAAGCGGCAACAGCUCAAAUUUGAAAUCUGGCCCCUCGGGCCCGAGUUGUAAUUUGUAGAGGAUGCUUUUGGCAAGGUGCCGCCCGAGUUCCCUGGAACGGGACGCCGCAGAGGGUGAGAGCCCCGUCUGGCUGGCCACCGAGCCUCUGUAAAGCUCCUUCGACGAGUCGAGUAGUUUGGGAAUGCUGCUCAAAAUGGGAGGUAUAUGUCUUCUAAAGCUAAAUAUUGGCCAGAGACCGAUAGCGCACAAGUAGAGUGAUCGAAAGAUGAAAAGCACUUUGAAAAGAGGGUUAAACAGUACGUGAAAUUGUUGAAAGGGAAGCGCUCAUGACCAGACUUGGGCUUGGCGAAUCAUCCGGCGUUCUCGCCGGUGCACUUCGCCUCGCCCAGGCCAGCAUCAGUUCGCGCCGGGGGACAAAAGCUUCGGGAAUGUGGCUCCUCCGGGAGUGUUAUAGCCCGUUGCAUAAUACCCUGGUGCGGACUGAGGUUCGCGCAUCUGCAAGGAUGCUGGCGUAAUGGUCAUCAGCGACCCGUCUUGAAACACGGACCAAGGAGUCGUCUUCGUAUGCGAGUGUUCGGGUGUCAAACCCCUACGCGUAAUGAAAGUGAACGCAGGUGAGAGCUUCGGCGCAUCAUCGACCGAUCCUGAUGUUCUCGGAUGGAUUUGAGUAAGAGCAUACGGGGCCGGACCCGAAAGAAGGUGAACUAUGCCUGUAUAGGGUGAAGCCAGAGGAAACUCUGGUGGAGGCUCGCAGCGGUUCUGACGUGCAAAUCGAUCGUCAAAUAUGGGCAUGGGGGCGAAAGACUAAUCGAACCUUCUAGUAGCUGGUUUCCGCCGAAGUUUCCCUCAGGAUAGCAGUGUUGAACUCAGUUUUAUGAGGUAAAGCGAAUGAUUAGGGAACCGGGGGCGCUAUUUAGCCUUCAUCCAUUCUCAAACUUUAAAUAUGUAAGAAGCCCUUGUUACUUAAUUGAACGUGGGCAUUCGAAUGUAUCAACACUAGUGGGCCAUUUUUGGUAAGCAGAACUGGCGAUGCGGGAUGAACCGAACGCGAGGUUAAGGUGCCAGAGUAGACGCUCAUCAGACACCACAAAAGGUGUUAGUACAUCUUGACAGCAGGACGGUGGCCAUGGAAGUCGGAAUCCGCUAAGGACUGUGUAACAACUCACCUGCCGAAUGUACUAGCCCUGAAAAUGGAUGGCGCUCAAGCGUCUCACCCAUACCUCGCCCUCAGGGUAGAAACGAUGCCCUGAGGAGUAGGCGGACGGGAGGUCAGGACGAAGCCUAGGGCGUGAGCNCGGUUGACGGC